This 265-nucleotide ribosomal RNA is filed under the name uncultured archaeon. Its description in RNAcentral is "partial 16S ribosomal RNA". It matches the Rfam family "Archaeal small subunit ribosomal RNA", at positions 717 to 982 of the family's 1478-position model. The record is from RNAcentral.
ACACGACUACAUUAGAUACCCCCGGUAGUCCAGGGUGUAAACGCUGCGGGCUUGGUGUUGGGGUCCUUUGAGGGCGCCCAGUGCCGGAGAGAAGUUGUUAAGCCUGCUGCUUGGGGAGUACGUCCGCAAGGAUGAAACUUAAAGGAAUUGGCGGGGGAGCACCGCAACGGGAGGAGCGUGCGGUUCAAUUGGAUUCAACGCCGGACAACUCACCAGGAGCGACGGUUACAUGAAGGCCAGGCUGAUGACCUUGCCUGAUUUUCCG